Molecule: long non-coding RNA, 1275 nt
Filed under: Dromaius novaehollandiae (emu)
Lineage: Eukaryota; Metazoa; Chordata; Aves; Casuariiformes; Dromaiidae
Description: lncRNA (ENSDNVG00000018910.1)
Source: RNAcentral
AUGGUGCUCCAGGAAGAGAUGGUGAAAAGGGUGAAAAAGGUGACGCUGGUCCCCCUGGUCCUCCUGGAAGUGUCAUUUCAAGACCAGACAUUGAUGCAGCAGUGGGACCAAAAGGUAGCAAAGGAUUGCCAGGACUUCCAGGAGCCAAAGGGGAGCGUGGAUUCUCUGGUAGGCCGGGCCCRCCUGGCUUGCCAGGUUCUCCAGGGAUCACGACUGUUGGGCCUCCUGGCCCACCUGGCUUACCUGGCGAGAGAGGACAGAAGGGAGAUCCAGGUUUACCUGGUGUUUCCAUUCCUGGACAGCCAGGACUUGAUGGACCCCGGGGAUCCCCAGGACCACCAGGUCCCCCAGGACCACCUGCGCCAUCAGUUCCUCCUGGUGAAGGGUUAUGUGAGCAGGGACCRCCAGGUCCUCCUGGAAUUCCAGGACAGCAAGGCUUUACGGGGGAGCGAGGCCAAAAAGGUGCCAAGUCAUGGAAAUGUUUUUUCUCGUCUUGUUAAAGCUUGUUUAACAGUUUAAAGCCUGCAUUAGGUAAAGAAUAAGCAGUGUCUCUUCCCACUAGGGUUGGGUGUGAAUUUUAUGUGUUUCCAAAUAAGAAAUCUGUUUUGUUUGGACACAGGGUAGUCCUUCAUCUAGUGUAAAAGCACAGGAAUCUCARACUUUCUGAGAGUAUAACCCAUUUGAAUGGCCUUGUGCAGAUCAUGAUUAAAGUAAAAUGGAGCUUCAGGUUUACGAGUACCUUCCAGGUGAAUAGGAUCUACCUCCAUGUGAAGAAGUUUUGUACGUACUUCAUGGAUAAAUUUGACAUUAUUUUGUGGAAAGCAACAUUGAAAUUAUAAAUGUAAGGUUCAUAAUUUGAGUUGGUCAGUCUAGAAGGAGUUUAUCUGUUUGUUUGCUAACCAAAAGAAAGACAUCUUUAAUGUGUACCCUUGUUUCCAAAAAGACAACCUUGCAAUGAGGAUGCUGAUAUGGGUAAGUGAGAAUCUUUUCCUAGCUCAACCAUGGACAUCUUAAAUGACUUUGAGCAUCUCACUUGAUUUUAUACUCCUUUCAAACAGGAGUAGCUCUUUCUCAUGGAGAUUGUAAGCUUUAGUUAAUUAACCCAAAUGAAAUGUUUAGCUAAUACAGUGAUGAACAUCAUAGAAAAGUCUGUGCAUGAAUGAAAUUCCUAAACUUCUUGAAACAGUUCAUUUUUUUUUAAUGAAAUAUGUUUAGCCUAUUGUCAGAUCAGCUGUGUUUAAUAAAACYGUCUCAGUAGUUAUUUUGCCUUCUAGG